AUUGAACGCUGGCGGCAUGCUUUACACAUGCAAGUCGAACGGCCGCGCGGGCUUCGGCCUGGCUGCGAGUGGCGAACGGGUGAGUAAUGCAUCGGAACGUGCCCAGUAGUGGGGGAUAGCCCGGCGAAAGCCGGAUUAAUACCGCAUACCACCUGAGGGUGAUAGCGGGGGACCGAAAGGCCUCGCGCUAUCCGAGCGGCCGUAGUCGGGUUACCUAGUUGGUCGGGUUAAGGCAUAACAAGGCGACGAUCCGUAGCUGGUCUGAGAGGACGACCAGCCACACUGGGACUGGGACACGGCCCAGACUCCAACGGGAGGCAGCAGUGGGGAAUUUUGGACAAUGGGGGCAAACCUGAUCCAACCAUGCCGCGUGCGGGAGGAGGGCCUUCGGGUUGUAAACCGCUUUUGUUCGGGAAGAAAUCCUCUGGGCUAAUACCCCGGGAGGAUGACGGUACCGGAAGAAUAAGCACCGGCUAACUACGUG
This 484-nucleotide ribosomal RNA is filed under the name uncultured bacterium. RNAcentral describes it as "partial 16S ribosomal RNA". It matches the Rfam family "Bacterial small subunit ribosomal RNA", at positions 28 to 507 of the family's 1533-position model. The record is from RNAcentral.